UAGGGAAUCUUCGGCAAUGGACGAAAGUCUGACCGAGCAACGCCGCGUGAGGGAAGAAGGUUUUCGGAUCGUAAAACUCUGUUGUUAGAGAAGAACAAGGACGGUAGUAACUGAACGUCCCCUGACGGUAUCUAACCAGAAAGCCACGGCUAACUACGUGCCAGCAGCCGCGGUAAUACGUAGGUGGCAAGCGUUGUCCGGAUUUAUUGGGCGUAAAGCGAGCGCAGGCGGUUUCUUAAGUCUGAUGUGAAAGCCCCCGGCUCAACCGGGGAGGGUCAGUGGAAACUGGGAGACUUGAGUGCAGAAGAGGAGAGUGGAAUUCCAUGUGUAGCGGUGAAAUGCGUAGAUAUAUGGAGGAACACCAGUGGCGAAGGCGGCUCUCUGGGCUGUAACUGACGCUGAGGCUCGAAAGCGUGGGGAGCAAACAGG
Molecule: ribosomal RNA, 429 nt
Filed under: Gemmatimonadota bacterium
Lineage: Bacteria; Pseudomonadati; Gemmatimonadota
Description: Gemmatimonadetes bacterium partial 16S ribosomal RNA
Rfam family: Bacterial small subunit ribosomal RNA
Source: RNAcentral